GACGAACGCUGGCGGCGUGCUUAACACAUGCAAGUCGAACGGAAAGGCUCCAGCUUGCUGGAGUACUCGAGUGGCGAACGGGUGAGUAACACGUGGGUAAUCUGCCCUGCACUCUGGGAUAAGCCUGGGAAACUGGGUCUAAUACUGGAUAUGACCUUUCUCCUUAUGGGGUUUGGUGGAAAGUUUUUCGGUGUAGGAUGAGCCCGCGGCCUAUCAGCUUGUUGGUGGGGUGAUGGCCUACCAAGGCGACGACGGGUAGCCGGCCUGAGAGGGUGAUCGGCCACAUUGGGACUGAGAUACGGCCCAGACUCCUACGGGAGGCAGCAGUGGGGAAUAUUGCACAAUGGGCGGAAGCCUGAUGCAGCGACGCCGCGUGAGGGAUGACGGCCUUCGGGUUGUAAACCUCUUUCAGCAGGGACGAAGCGUAAGUGACGGUACCUGCAGAAGAAGCACCGGCUAACCAUGUG
RNAcentral lists this ribosomal RNA (467 nucleotides) under uncultured bacterium. Its description in RNAcentral is "partial 16S ribosomal RNA". It matches the Rfam family "Bacterial small subunit ribosomal RNA", at positions 28 to 507 of the family's 1533-position model. The record is from RNAcentral.